This 505-nucleotide ribosomal RNA is filed under the name uncultured bacterium. Its description in RNAcentral is "bacterial SSU rRNA". It matches the Rfam family "Bacterial small subunit ribosomal RNA", at positions 20 to 518 of the family's 1533-position model. The record is from RNAcentral.
UGGCUCAGGAUGAACGCUAGCUACAGGCUUAACACAUGCAAGUCGAGGGGCAUCGGGAUCUGUGCUUGCACAGAUGCCGGCGACCGGCGCACGGGUGAGUAACGCGUAUCCAACUUCCCUUAGUAGGGCAUAGCCCGUAGAAAUGCGGAUUAAUACCCUAUGUUAUUCGUCGAGGACAUCUGAAGUGAAUCAAAGGUUUACCGCUAAGGGAUGGGGAUGCGUCUGAUUAGGCAGCAGGCGGGGUAACGGCCCACCUGGCCUACGAUCAGUAGGGUUCUGAGAGGAAGGUCCCCCACAUUGGAACUGAGACACGGUCCAAACUCCUACGGGAGGCAGCAGUGAGGAAUAUUGGUCAAUGGGCGAGAGCCUGAACCAGCCAAGUAGCGUGCAGGACGACGGCCCUAUGGGCUGUAAACUGCUUUUAUGCGGGGAUAAAGUUCACUACGUGUAGUGUUUUGUAGGUACCGCAUGAAUAAGGACCGGCUAAUUCCGUGCCAGCCGCGGC